Long non-coding RNA from Erinaceus europaeus (western European hedgehog), 571 nucleotides. RefSeq lists it as uncharacterized. The record is from RefSeq and is a predicted model, not a curated record. NCBI's taxonomy places the organism in Eukaryota, Metazoa, Chordata, Mammalia, Eulipotyphla, Erinaceidae. The transcript is spliced from 3 exons.
AUGAGGAAGCGAAGGAGCUUUGCACAGGUAGUUCAAUUACCAUAUACUACAGAGAGAAGAGGGUUGGAGAGAAAAGCAGAGCAAAUAAAACAACGAAAAGAAGCCAGUGAAGAUGGAAUGAUGGGGACCAGGGACUUGAACGUUGGUUGUGGCACAUGGUAACACGUAACUUUCACCAGGUUCCAGAUGCCAUCAGGAUGCCGACCAGCUUUCCCUGGACUGAAGACCCCACCAAUAUGUCCUGGAGCUCUGCUUCCCCAGAGGCCCACCCUACUGGGGAAGGAGAGAGGCAGACUGGGAGUAUGGACCAACCAGUCAACGCCCAUGUUCAGCAGGGAAGCAAUUACAGAAGCCAGGCCUUCCACUUUCUGCAACCCACAAUGACCCUGAGUCCAUGCUCCCAGAGGGAUAGAGAAUGGGAAAGCUCUCAGGGGAGGGGGUGGGAUACGGAGAUUGGGUGGUGGGAAUUGUGUGGAGUUGUACCCCUCCUACCCUAUGGAUUUGUUAAUUUAUCCUUUCUUAAAAUAAAUAAGUAAAUAAAUAAAUAUAAAUAAAUAAAUAAAAAUAAUAA